UGGUCCCAGCCUUAAGAUCAGUUGUUACUCGAUAUACACAUGCAAGUCUCCGCACCCCUGUGAAUAACGCCCUCAUAUCCCUGUAAGGAGUAAGGAGCCGGUAUCAGGCACAAAAUAAGCCCAAGACACCUAGCCAUGCCACACCCACACGGGACUUCAGCAGUGAUUAAUAUUGAAAAUAAGCGACAGCUUGAAUCAGUUAGAGUAAAUAGAGCCGGCAAAUCUGGUGCCAGCCGCCGCGGUUACACCAUGUGGCUCAAACUGAUCUCUUUCGGCGUAAAGCGUGAUUAAAGUACACUCUAACUGCAAUCAAACUAGAAUUAAGCUGUAGUACGCUUAUUACUAGGAAGCCCAAAAACGAAAGUUAUUGCAACCCUAAUAACUUGAACUCACGACAGCCAGAAAACAAACUAGGAUUAGAUACCCUACUAUGCCUGGCCGUAAACUUUCAUUUACAACCUCAUCGCCUGGGAACUACGAGCAAAGCUUAAAACCCAAGGGACUUGACGGUACCCCAUAUCCCCCUAGAGGAGCCUGUCCUAUAAUCGAUGAUCCCCGUUUAACCUCACCAUUUUUAGCUUAUCAGCCUGUAUACCUCCGUCGUCAGCUUACCCCCUGAGCGUCAAUCAGUAAGCUAAAUGCCCCUACGCCAAUACGUCAGGUCAAGGUGCAGCUUAUAAAAUGGGAAGAGAUGGGCUACAUUAUCUAAUUUAGAUAACACGAAAAACUAUACAUGAAAAAUAGUUAGAAGGCGGAUUUAGAAGUAAGAAAAGACCAAAAUGCUUUUCUUAACCUGGCACUGGGGUGUGUACACACCGCCCGUCACCCUCUUCGAAGCAUUAAUACAGUUUUUAACGCAAUCUAGCGCCCGAGAAGAGGUAAGUCGUAACAUGGUAAGCGUACCGGAAGGUGUGCUUGGAAA
RNAcentral lists this non-coding RNA (922 nucleotides) under Dendropsophus ozzyi. RNAcentral describes it as "partial 12S ribosomal RNA". It matches the Rfam family "Bacterial small subunit ribosomal RNA". The record is from RNAcentral. Lineage: Eukaryota; Metazoa; Chordata; Amphibia; Anura; Hylidae.